ACAUACGAUCAUACCCUCCGGGAAACAUCCGAUCCCGUCUGCUCUCGAGAAAAUAAGCCGGAGAGGGCUGGAUUAGUAGCUAGGUCGGUGACGACUAGCGAAUCCCCAGUGUUGUAUGUC
Molecule: ribosomal RNA, 120 nt
Filed under: Scedosporium apiospermum
Lineage: Eukaryota; Fungi; Ascomycota; Sordariomycetes; Microascales; Microascaceae
Source: RNAcentral